Molecule: ribosomal RNA, 516 nt
Filed under: uncultured bacterium
Lineage: Bacteria
Description: bacterial SSU rRNA
Rfam family: Bacterial small subunit ribosomal RNA
Source: RNAcentral
AACGAACGUUAGCGGCGCGCUUAACACAUGCAAGUCGAGCGAGAAAGGGGAAACCCCGGUAAAGCGGCGCACGGGUGAGUAACACGUAGGUAAUCUACCCCCAGGUGGAGGAUAACCUUCCGAAAGGAGGGCUAAUACUGCAUGAGACCACGGUUCCGAAAGGGAUUGAGGUCAAAGCCGGCCUCUUCACGAAAGCUGGCGCCAGGGGAUGAGCCUGCGGCCCAUCAGCUAGUUGGUAGGGUAAUGGCCUACCAAGGCGAAGACGGGUAGCUGGUCUGAGAGGAUGAUCAGCCACACUGGAACUGAGACACGGUCCAGACUCCUACGGGAGGCAGCAGUGGGGAAUCUUGCGCAAUGGGCGAAAGCCUGACGCAGCGACGCCGCGUGAGUGAUGAAGGCCUUCGGGUUGUAAAGCUCUGUGGAGAGGGACGAAUAAGUGUUGGCUAACAUCCAGCAUGAUGACGGUACCUCUUUAGCAAGCACCGGCUAACUCUGUGCCAGCAGCCGCGGUAAGAC